AGAAUAGCACCAGGUGAGGCAAAUUCUUGCUAUUAGCAAGGCAAUACAGGGCUAUUUAACAGUAUCACGUGACUGCAUACACUGUUCAACUAAAGCGCACGUAUGUUCUCUAACUAACAACAACUGAGACAAAUUAAAGCGCGAUUAUCUGAACUAACGCACAACCAUGUUCUCUAACUAGCAACAGCUGAGACAAAUUAAAGAGCGAUUAUCUGAACUAACGCACAACUAUGUUCUCUAACUAACAACAGCAGAAACAAAUUAAGUAUAGAUACGGGUACCCUAAACGCGAAAUAGUAGCGACGACACAAUCAGACGCACAGUUCAGGAAAAGUUAGGAGAAGCGAAGUUCAGAAUCUGCAGCAUCCAUUGUUGAUUAUUAGAAAUAUUGCUGUUCUCGGUGAGGUAUUGCACAGCGUCAGUCAGAGACCCUGUGCGUGCAUCCAUAUAACCACGCACACAUACCAUCUCUGCGGACAAAGGAAGCAGGUUGUAUUCACGUUUAUUGAAGAGACGGAAGUUUUCAUGCAUUCUUACUGGGUGCCUCACAGAGAUUACAUUGUUACCCCAGCCAUUUGAUGAGAAGAUGUUGGAAAGUAAUAUGCUCUGGCCCGCUUCCAGCUAGUAGGAGCGACGAGGUCCUGUCAAUCAGCUGUGACCCCACUUUACAUGGGCUGGCUCUUGAUAGGCGGGUUACCCCAGGCUGGUACGUAUCGCUCGUAUCUGAUCUGGGGGAGACUGGAGGAGGCCCCAAGAUGUAGACCCUUCUCAGGCUUGACUCGGGUGGUUGGGCUACCUAGCGGUGUUAACAAAAACCACUUGGGUCUAGCAAGAUAAGUAUCCAGCCCCCCUGGGUCCACUUGGACAGCACGCAGGGUGUGGUGGUCUGGGGCCACAGACCUUAAAUGGUGCCCAAUUUUCUAUUGGUGACUAGCACCACCCACACACCAGACCAUCAUGCACUACACGCGUGAAUUGGACUAACCAAGACCAGUUUGGGCUCUUUCAAAUUUCUUCACCCCUCUAAAUUGUCGCGUUUCGGGAAAAUACCAGCAGGGCAUGUAGAAGAAAGAUGGACCUAAAAAAACAGUUUAAAAAGAAUUACACUUACCGUAAGUAUUUCGAUGAGAACUCAAAAAAUCCUUCAGGCGAUGCCAAAAUCUGAAAAAGAAAAACAGAAGUUAGGAUUAUUAACACCCACAGAUUGAUGAAAAGUUAAAAACAAGGCAGCACCCAGGACCUAAAAUAUAAACCAGACUAAUGUAUUAUCAAUAAGCUUACUGUAACCUUGGCAAGGACAUUUUACAUUUAUAAAAAUCCAGGACCUAAAAGUUAUCAACUUAAAUGUUAUUAGUCCAAGUACUAAUACAAAUCUACAAUAGCAAAACUAAAAUUUCUUGGCCUGAUACUAUGACCCUUACAUAAUUGCACAUGGGACACAAGUUGGGGCUUGAUCAGCCCAGGCUGGCUGCCUCAGAGGAUGGUGUAUACAGUUUAAAGACCGAAAAACCUGAUGAUUCUGAGGUACCUUACUGAUAACGUGUCCUAAAAUACUCAGGAACAUAAAAAUAGAAUUCACCAAAAACCUUAAUUAACAUCAACAAACCAAAAUAAGAUAAAACUUAAAAUAUUCCAAGUAGAUAAUAUAAAAUGUUAAUUAAGAAAAAACUUUUAGAAUGAGGUGUGUUACUCCAGUGCUAGCGUCGCUUCAUGCAUGUAUGUGCGUGCAUGUCUGUGCAUCUGUGCAAGUGUGUGUGUGCAUGCACACAGAGGAGGUGCCUUUUUCUAUUUUUUGCCCAUGCCCCUUCGAGAGUUUGUGUACCCCGCUGUUGUGGUCAGAUGGAUUUCAGUUCACAAUCAAAGAAACAUCUGUUUAAUGACCUGGAUGCACAGUAUGUCUAAGAAAACAUUCCUGAAAAAACAGCCCAGCUGUGAUUCACAUUAGAUUAGUGGAUUACAUUUGUUUCCAACAGUUUUUGGUGCCAACAGGUUUUGACCUGGUCUUGUUAUGUUUACUUUUGGAACCCUGACCUGGACAUAAAAUUGACCUUGAGGGUCAGCCCGCAUCUGCUGAACGUCUUCCUGGAUUUCUUUGGCACAGGUGUCCUGGGCAGUCUGUCUAUGUUCUGUGCUUUGGAAGGAAAGACAGCAGCUUAAAAUUGCCAAAACGGUUUGCUACUCAAAUUUCCAUUCUCUGAAUUAAAAACCUUUUCUUACAAUGAUGUGAAGACAGGGGCAUAGUUUGAGUUUGACAUUGAGGUGACACCGGUGGACAUUUUCUCCCCAGCCCCUAUCCCCCCCCUACAGUAAAUAGUGGAAAAUUUGUUCAACCAGAGCCAGCUAUGGUCAUUAACGAUACAGACGCAUGCUAGCCUCAUCCAUUCUCACCUGUAAGAGCUGGCUUGGUUGUUUAUUUUCUUUAAUGUAUGAGGUACAGUAUUUCCUGGAGUAAUAGGCUAACAGUAGAAACCUCACCUUACAGGCGGACAUGGUGGCAUGGUGAUUAGCACUGUCACCUCACAGCAAGAAAGUUGCGGGUUCGACUCUUGGCUUUGGGCCUUUCUGUGCGGAGUUUGUUCUCCCAGUGUUCGCAUGGGUUUACUUCG
This is a long non-coding RNA of Anguilla anguilla (European eel), 2606 nucleotides long. RefSeq lists it as uncharacterized. The record is from RefSeq and is a predicted model, not a curated record. The transcript has 3 exons. Lineage: Eukaryota; Metazoa; Chordata; Actinopteri; Anguilliformes; Anguillidae.